Molecule: small nucleolar RNA, 129 nt
Filed under: Spermophilus dauricus (Daurian ground squirrel)
Lineage: Eukaryota; Metazoa; Chordata; Mammalia; Rodentia; Sciuridae
Description: Small nucleolar RNA SNORA26 (ENSSDAG00000000039.1)
Rfam family: Small nucleolar RNA SNORA26
About the family: The snoRNA HBI-6 belong to the H/ACA family of snoRNAs, guiding the pseudouridylation of position U4522 if the 28S rRNA.
Source: Rfam by way of RNAcentral
GUGUCCUUUUAAGGCUGAUGUGGUACUUUAAGAGGCCUAUUUUUACCACAGAAGGGUAAAAUAAGUCUCCAUAAAACCCAGAGAAGAGAUUUUAAGACUCCUCUUUAGAUCCUCUCUGGUGUUAUUAUA